UACGUAGGCAGCAAGCGUUGUUCGGAGUUACUGGGCGUAAAGGGCGUGUAGGCGGAUCGGUAAGUCUACUCUGAAAGCUCCUGGCUAAAUUGGGAGAGGCGAGUGGAGACUGUCGGUCUAGAGUGAGGAAGAGGAAAGUGGAAUUCCGCGUGUAGUGGUGAAAUGCGUAGAGAUGCGGAGGAACACCAGUGGCGAAAGCGGCUUCUGGUCCUUAACUGACGCUGAGGCGGCGAAAAGCAUGGGGAGCGAACGGGG
RNAcentral lists this ribosomal RNA (255 nucleotides) under uncultured bacterium. RNAcentral's name for it is "partial 16S ribosomal RNA". It matches the Rfam family "Bacterial small subunit ribosomal RNA", at positions 524 to 777 of the family's 1533-position model. The record is from RNAcentral.